GGCGAACGCUGGCGGCGCGCCUAAAGCAUGUAAGUCGAACGGGGCACCCGCAAGGGUGUCCAGUGGCGGACGGCUGAGUAACACGUGGGUAACCUGCCCCGAAGUGGGGAAUAUCUCGUGGAAACAUGGGUUAAUACCGCAUGUGGUCUGCUCGCGCAGGCGAGUAGACUAAAGGCUUCGGUCGCUUCGGGAGGGGCCCGCGACCCAUCAGCUAGUUGGUGGGGUAACGGCUCACCAAGGCAGUGACGGGUAGCUGGCCUGAGAGGGUGGUCAGCCAGACUGGGACUGAGAUACGGCCCAGACUCCUACGGGUGGCAG
This 318-nucleotide ribosomal RNA is filed under the name uncultured Chloroflexota bacterium. RNAcentral's name for it is "bacterial SSU rRNA". It matches the Rfam family "Bacterial small subunit ribosomal RNA", at positions 28 to 351 of the family's 1533-position model. The record is from RNAcentral. Lineage: Bacteria; Bacillati; Chloroflexota.